CAUUCGGAAAUUUAAAAUAAAUAAAAUAAUUUUUGGGCUUUAAACUAAUUAGAAAAUUACCAUGAAUUAAUUGAGUUAAGUAGGUAAUAAUAAUAAUAAUAAUAUAUAUAUAUAUAAAAAAAAAAGAAAUUAAAUACCCAAACUCAAAAAUCAGAAACCCACUUUCUCUUUCCCCUUUUCCCUUCCCUUCCCCUUCUCCUCCCUUCUCCUUUCUUCUUUUUCCUUCCAUUCGCAUAAACCCAAAUCUCAAGAAACAUCACACUCUAUUAAACACCUUAAAAUCUCAAGAACCAUUAUCCUCCUUCUUCCUUGAAUCUUCGAAGGAUUUGGGCUGCGAAAGACCAAUUGAUUUUCCUUCUUUCGUGAUUUCAUUUAAGAAGUGAUAUAGCAAUCGAAACUUUCCUCCCUUGCCUCUGAAUUCUGCGGAAAUAGGGGGAAAUCGAGUGAAGCUUGGUCUUGUUGAUUAGGCAUCGAAAUUUCAAGCCGAAAAUCAAUUGUUUUGAAUCUGAUUCUCUGUUUAUUCCUUACUGCUGUCAAACAGAAGGAUACGACUACUUCGAUGAACCCUUCAAGUGAUCGUGGUGUACCAGACUUAGCUUCUUGAAGCAGCGUUAUCUUUUGUCUACAGAUCGGAACUGGUCGGGAACGAUGGGUUAGCGGUGUUGAAUAGCAUUCCAAGGAUGUAUAUGAGCUGAGCAUGUUAGAGUUUUGUAGUUUUGUACUAAGCUUUGGAAAUGUAUUAGUCUAGCCUGUAUUGGUUAUGUUGGACGUUUAUAGAGACUUUUAUGAUCACUGUAUGUAUGAGAUAGAUGUUUGGAUUGAGAAUUAGUUGGUUUAGUUAUGAUUUAGAACUAAAGACUCUUUGCGCAAGUUUUGGGAUUGAGAUUCGAGGUUUUUGGGAAACAGACCCCGUGAUGACCCUGUUUACCUAGUCAACGGUAAGUCGGGUUGUUACACGAUAUGUCAACAAAAGAACAAAAAAAAUCUUCAUAUUUCGAAAAAGUAAACAUGAACAAGCAUGAAGAAUUUUAUACAUGACCAAACAUAAGAACAAGUAAAAACCAAAAAACAGCAAAAAAAAUUACAUAAAUUCAAAUGAAAUAGUCGUAUUAUUAUUGAAAUUUCAUUAGUCGUUUCUAACAUCUAUUUUUUUUUAAUAAUUGGUCAUUACUAAUUAAAAUUUAAUUAGUGAUGGUAGUAAUUUGAAAAAUAUCUACGACGACUAAAAACUUAUCAACUCGUAACGUAGUUAUGAAGUGUAACAAGUAACGUAAACUUUGAAGGUAAAACUUAAAGUUGAGCAACUACCCAUAACGUUUCGGGAUAAUUAUAAUACUUACUUGAAAACUUUAUUUACCCAUGUUGAGAAUAAAUUAAAUAUUUCAUAAACAUAUACAAUUGAUUUUUAAACAUGAAUUACAUGUUAGAUAACUUGUUACAUGUACAACAAUUUUUAUCCAAAUCUUAAACUAUCUUAGAUAAACCUUUCUUACACCAUAAUAAACCAAAUUGAGGACAAACACCACCUCAAAUCAGCCCCAAACAGCAGCCCCAUAUGGCUAUCACGUACCCCUUUUAGCUCUUUCUAUACUUAUACACUCAAGCAAAUUGUUCUAUUCAAAACCCCCUUUGUUCUACCCAAAGCUUGUGCGCCAUUAUAAGCAUGCAAGAGGCAAAUAUAAGAAGCAAAAACACUUCAUUUUCAGACCAUUUUAUUCAGCCAUAAUCCCCAACAAAUUGCUCCCAAAUUCACCAAGAACAAACACUAGAAUCCUUCAAAGUUUCAACUACUAUAACACCUUCUUUUCUAAUCAAAUCUUCUUCAAAAACCCAUCUAAAACUUCUGAAAAUUUAUGAUAAAAUCAAAUCUCCCAUAAAAAUAAUCUUUAUCUUAAGGACUUUCUAUGGACAUCAAACUUGAAGAAAUCCACCAAGUAUAAAGU
This is a long non-coding RNA of Amaranthus tricolor (Joseph's coat), 1943 nucleotides long. RefSeq lists it as uncharacterized. Lineage: Eukaryota; Viridiplantae; Streptophyta; Magnoliopsida; Caryophyllales; Amaranthaceae. The record is from RefSeq and is a predicted model, not a curated record. The transcript has 3 exons.